ACAAAAUCAAAUAGCACACUGACCGCAGUCAACUCUUUCAAAUACUUGGAUAUGUUGUUAGACCCCAAUCUAUCUUUUGGCCUGCACAUAGAAAAGCUUGCAUCUAAACUUUAUCCAAAACUAGGUGCCCUGUACAGAAACAAAUCCUGCCUAAGCCCUACAGUAAAGGAAAAGAUUGUACAGCAAAUGCUGAUGCCAAUCAUUGAUUAUGUGGAUGUAGUAUAUGCAUCUGC
This 233-nucleotide long non-coding RNA is filed under the name Pelobates cultripes (western spadefoot toad). The record is from RNAcentral. Lineage: Eukaryota; Metazoa; Chordata; Amphibia; Anura; Pelobatidae.